RNAcentral lists this ribosomal RNA (489 nucleotides) under uncultured bacterium. RNAcentral's name for it is "partial 16S ribosomal RNA". It matches the Rfam family "Bacterial small subunit ribosomal RNA", at positions 30 to 507 of the family's 1533-position model. The record is from RNAcentral.
AUUGAACGCUGGCGGCAGGCCUAGCACAUGCAAGUCGAACGGUAACAGGAAGAAGCUUGCUUCUUUGCUGACGAGUGGCGGACGGGUGAGUAAUGUCUGGGAAACUGCCUGAUGGAGGGGGAUAACUACUGGAAACGGUAGCUAAUACCGCAUAACGUCGCAAGACCAAAAAGGGGGACCUUCGGGCCUCUUGCCAUCGGAUGUGCCCAGAUGGGAUUAGCUAGUAGGUGGGGUAACGGCUCACCUAGGCGACGAUCCCUAGCUGGUCUGAGAGGAUGACCAGCCACACUGGAACUGAGACACGGUCCAGACUCCUACGGGAGGCAGCAGUGGGGAAUAUUGCACAAUGGGCGCAAGCCUGAUGCAGCCAUGCCGCGUGUAUGAAGAAGGCCUUCGGGUUGUAAAGUACUUUCAGCGGGGAGGAAGGGAGUAAAGUUAAUACCUUGCUCAUUGACGUUACCCGCAGAAGAAGCACCGGCUAACUCCGUG